RNAcentral lists this long non-coding RNA (752 nucleotides) under Setaria italica (foxtail millet). RNAcentral's name for it is "long non-coding RNA (SITA_LNC005387)". Lineage: Eukaryota; Viridiplantae; Streptophyta; Magnoliopsida; Poales; Poaceae. The record is from RNAcentral.
ACAGGCACAGCCUUGUCAUCUCUCCAUCUGCCUCCUCGCCUGGCACCCAUGACUGCAGCAUCUUGCUUUGAGCUGCGCACUUCUUGUAUGGCACAAAACCUCGAAGGUAGGCUGGAACAGUGGAAUAUUUUCUUGAACCUGGAACAGGUAUCACUUCAUCUUCAUUGUUGUUUACUUGUGUAGAUUCUAUAGAAUCUGAAUUCUGAGGAGCUGUUUCAGGCACAUUAUUGGAGGUUGUGAUCGAUUCCGUCCACGAUCCUUCUGCCCUAGUGAACUUGCAGUCUGCAGCUUCAGAUGGUUGGUGCUGUUGCUUAUCUGAGGUAACUGUUUGUGGGUUCAAUACUCUGUAAGAUAUGCUUCCAUUCCCGUAGCUGAGAAAUUGGCAAGCAGAAUGCACGGAGAGAACCUCCCCUUGAGGAAGAUAGUACAUAAGCUGCUGUGUACCGGUCAGCCACGGGCUCCAUGUCUUUGCUUCUUCUGCACCAUGGGAAGAGAACUUCCCAGUUCCACUAGUUGGUGUCUCAGCUGAAGUGUCCAGCUCCAUGUCUGCUACAUGUUGUAGGUCCCCAGUAUUGGAGUUUUGCUGCUGAUGCAAAUUAUUCACCACGACCCUCUUGCCAAAUAGCCUAAGAACUGGACCUUCAGGCAUUCCACAUGCCGCGCCAUCGGAAGUGGUGGCAUCCUGAGAUAUAUUUAAGCUGUUUGUUAGAACACAGGAUUCAGAUGUUACCAAUCAUGCGAUUAGAUGCUUU